This 390-nucleotide unclassified non-coding RNA is filed under the name soil metagenome. RNAcentral describes it as "partial contains 5.8S ribosomal RNA, internal transcribed spacer 2, and large subunit ribosomal RNA". The stretch from base 1 to 121 matches the Rfam family "5.8S ribosomal RNA", at positions 35 to 154 of the family's 154-position model. The record is from RNAcentral.
GAUGAAGACGCAGCGAAAUGCGAUACUUGGUGUGAAUUGCAGAAUCCCGUGAACCAUCGAGUCUUUGAACGCAAGUUGCGCCCGAAGCCACUAGGCCGAGGGCACGCCUGCCUGGGCGUCACACGCCGUUGCCCCCCCAUCUACUCCUUCGGGAUUGCGGGGGGGCGGAUGAUGGCCUCCCGUGCGCCUAGCCGCGCGGUUGGCAUAAAUACCAAGUCCUCGGCGACGCACGCCACGACAAUCGGUGGUUGCGAAACCUCGGUUGCCCGUCGUGUGCGGUCGUCGCGCAUCGAGGGCUCGAAAAAAUGCUCGGCUCCGGCUGGGCUUUCAACGCGACCCCAGGUCAGGCGGGGUUACCCGCUGAAUUUAAGCAUAUCAAUAAGCGGAGGA